RNAcentral lists this ribosomal RNA (521 nucleotides) under uncultured Glomus. RNAcentral describes it as "SSU rRNA". It matches the Rfam family "Eukaryotic small subunit ribosomal RNA", at positions 569 to 1092 of the family's 1831-position model. Lineage: Eukaryota; Fungi; Glomeromycota; Glomeromycetes; Glomerales; Glomeraceae. The record is from RNAcentral. RNAcentral also lists the same sequence under 1 other name.
AGCAGCCGCGGUAAUUCCAGCUCCAAUAGCGUAUAUUAAAGUUGUUGCAGUUAAAAAGCUCGUAGUUGAAUUUCGGGAUCAAUAUAUCGGUCGUGCCUUGGUACGUACUGGUAUCAUUGGUUUCUCCUUUCUGACGAACCAUGAUGUCAUUAAUUUGGUGUUAUGGGAAGUUAGGACUGUUACUUUGAAAAAAUUAGAGUGUUUAAAGCAGGCUUUAGCUUGAAUACAUUAGCAUGGAAUAAUGAAAUAGGACGUUCGAACCUAUUUUGUUGGUUUCUAGGAUCAACGUAAUGAUUAAUAGGGAUAGUUGGGGGCAUUAGUAUUCAAUUGUCAGAGGUGAAAUUCUUGGAUUUAUUGAAGACUAACUACUGCGAAAGCAUUUGCCAAGGAUGUUUUCAUUAAUCAAGAACGAAAGUUAGGGGAUCGAAGACGAUCAGAUACCGUCGUAGUCUUAACCAUAAACUAUGCCGACUAGGGAUCGGAUGAUGUUAAUUUUUUAAUGACUCAUUCGGCGCCUUACG